CAGGGUGUAGCUCAGUUUGCGCAGAGCACCUGCCUUGGGAGCAGGGGGUCGCAAGUUCAAAUCUUGCCACCCUGACCA
Molecule: transfer RNA, 78 nt
Filed under: bacterium
Lineage: Bacteria
Description: tRNA-Pro
Rfam family: tRNA
About the family: Transfer RNA (tRNA) molecules are approximately 80 nucleotides in length. Their secondary structure includes four short double-helical elements and three loops (D, anti-codon, and T loops).
Source: RNAcentral